This is a long non-coding RNA of Felis catus (domestic cat), 1880 nucleotides long. RefSeq lists it as uncharacterized. The transcript is spliced from 3 exons. The record is from RefSeq and is a predicted model, not a curated record. Lineage: Eukaryota; Metazoa; Chordata; Mammalia; Carnivora; Felidae.
UUCAGUAGGAAUCUGGUGUGUGCUGCCAGCUGCAUUUGUCAUGUCUUCAAGGUUGUGUUGUCACUGGCCAUCCAAGUCUCUAAGUAUCAACAUAGAUACUGAGUUCCUGGAACAAAGGAUUCUACAGAAAAACAAGUUUAGAGGAGGGGGAGGCUUUGAGAAUGAGGAAGAGAAAUACUUGUUCAGUUUUAAGUCAAGCCUUGCUGACACAUUGAUGUGUCCUUCUUAAUUGCCAACAAUUUUUACAUUUCUAUAGCAGUUUCAAUAGGACCUGGAACUUGAAGGGAUUUAAGAUAUCAUUGAGCUCCAUACCUUACCUUUUUGUGAGGAAACUGCAGGCCAGAGUUAAGAGAUCCAUCCAGUCACAAAGCUGGCUCCAUGCUUCAGCACUGAGUCUUCAAACUCCCAGUCCGUCCAUUCUCCGCCAUUAGGCAGGUUUUCUGCCUGGUCUCAGCUUGUAUGGGAACCUUUUCCCCAUGUUAGCAUUAAAUAACAAUCCUGGAAGUGCCUGGGGGAUUCAGCGGGUUAAGUGUCCAACUUCAGCUUAGGUCAUGACCUCAAGGUUCAUGAGUUCGAGCCCCGCAUCCAACUCUGGAGUGCUUGGAUAGACAACCUGCUUAGAACACCUUCUUGGCUUCUGCUCUCCAGACCAUUUGUCCCACUAUUCAGAGAGCUCUUGGAAUUGUGCUGCUCCAGUUGGGUGAAAAUGCUGGAUGUGGUGUUCCAGAAAGGGGAGGGUCCUGGCUCCUGGAGGAUUCCCAGGAGUGUUAAAUUUAGUGCCUGAGUCCAUGUCACCUUUUGAGCAUUUCCUUCCUUUCUGGAACAAGAAGAUAUUCCAAGCUCAUCUUAUACUUUCCUUGCUAUAGCCCUGGGGUCAGUCAUUUCUCUGUGGAGUCCUGCUUCAUUUUAAUGGUGAAUGGUAUUUAUGGUAUUUUGUUCGUUAUGCUGGUGUGGUAUCAUUUAUGUUAAUUAUGUUCAUUGCCAUUGGGUACUGCUGUUCCCAUACCCUCUCAUUGGAUGGGUCUAAGGAGUUUAUAAAAAUUCCAUUUAUAUCUACAUUUAUCUAUGCAUCUAUUUAUAUUAUUGAAAACCAUGAUUUCAGGGCACCUGAGUGGCUCAGUUGGUUAAGGUCCAGCUUCAGUUCAGGUCAUGAUCUCACGAAUUCAUGGGGUUGAGACAGAUGCUGACAGCUCAGAACCUGGAGCCUGCUUCAGAUUCUGUGUCUCCCUCUCUCUCUGCUUCUCCCCUUUCUCUCUCUCUCUCUCUCAAAAAUAAAUAAACAUUAACAAAAAAUAAAAAAAUAAAACUCCAUGAUUUCAUAGUGGUAUUUUCAAUCUAACACCAUAAUGUUAGAUGGUUUUUCUUUUCCAGAUUUAUAACUCCCUUUUACAACACCGAAAAUCCUGGCUCCCAUUAUACUAAAUAUGUUUACUCAAUUCCUCAGAUUCUCCUGUAUAUAACCUAUUUACUUACUCUGACUCCACACUCCUCCUGUACAGACACCUUUUGGGCUCUGACAUCACUCAAGUUACCACUAUUGCUGUUUCCUCCCAUAUUGUGUCAGGAGCGGUCAGUGUAAUCAAUAGAAUAUGUGACAGGUGAUGGUAUGUCACUUACAUGGCAAGAUCAUAAAAAGCAAACAAGCAAAUUCCAAUAUUGUGGCUUCUGUCUCUUUUGGCUCAUUUGUGCUGGGGGAAAGCUGGUACCACAUCAUGAAAAGAAGUCUAUGUAGUGAGGAACUGAAGCCUUAUACUAGUGAACCAUUUUCUUUUUUUUUUUUAAUUUUUUUUUUCAACGUUUAUUUAUUUUUGGGACAGAGAGAGACAGAGCAUGAACGGGGGAGGGGCAGAGAGAGAGGGAGACACAGAAUCGGAAACAGG